Molecule: non-coding RNA, 483 nt
Organism: Oryctolagus cuniculus (rabbit)
Lineage: Eukaryota; Metazoa; Chordata; Mammalia; Lagomorpha; Leporidae
Source: RefSeq, a predicted model, not a curated record
CCUGGCUUCUGCACACAGAUGCCAAGGAUCAGGAUGGGAUUUGGUCUGGAUCCGUCUGACUUCAAAGGUCCUUUCCUUCCUCCUGUACCUGGGUGUCUCUCAGCUGCUUGGGAACAAGGAAAGUCAAAAGAGCAUAGACAGAACUUCCCACAGGUACUAGUGGAGCAACUCUAGACAGUGCCCGGGCCUUAGAGACCAGGACCUAUGUUUGGAAUUAUGGAAUGGUGGGAUUCUUUGGAUCUUCAAGCAUAGGAGCGACUUUAGACAAAACUUCAAAACGCAAAACAAGGUGAGAAUUCAACAUCACCGUGUCCUCCGAUGUUUGCCCACUUGAAUCCAGUUACUGUCUUCUUGGCCAAACACCUAAUGGAAAUCUUCCAAGGAGACAGAAAGCAAAGGUGACCGAGUGGCCUCAUCUUCCAGACAACUUCAGGAAAGAUACAAAAAAGACUUUUUGUGUUCCACAGCCCCGUGUCAUUUCCU